Molecule: ribosomal RNA, 459 nt
Filed under: uncultured bacterium
Lineage: Bacteria
Description: partial 16S ribosomal RNA
Rfam family: Bacterial small subunit ribosomal RNA
Source: RNAcentral
CCUACGGGAGACAGCAGUGAGGAAUAUUGGUCAAUGGGCGGGAGCCUGAACCAGCCAAGCCGCGUGAGGGAAGAAGGUACAGCGUAUCGUAAACCUCUUUUGCCAGGGAACAAAGGCGGGGACUAGUCCCCGGAUGAGGGUACCUGAAGAAAAAGCAUCGGCAAACUCCGGGCCAGCAGCCGCGGUAAUACGGAGGAUGCGAGCGUUAUCCGGAUUGAUGGGGUUAAAGGGGUGCGCAGGCGGCCUGUUAAGUCAGAGGUAAAAGCCCGGGGCGCAACCCCGGAGAGCAGUUGAAACUGGCGGGCUGGAGUUGGAGAGAAGUACGCGGAAUGCGCGGUGUAGCGGUGAAAUGCUUAGAUAUCGCGCAGAACCCCGGUUGCGAAGGCAGCGUACCGGCCCCACACUGACGCUGAGGCACGAAAGCGUGGGUAUCGAACAGGAUUAGAUACCCGGGUAGUC